AAUCCAUAGGUUAAUGAGGCGAACCGGGGGAACUGAAACAUCUAAGUACCCCGAGGAAAAGAAAUCAACCGAGAUUCCCCCAGUAGCGGCGAGCGAACGGGGAGGAGCCCAGAGCCUGAAUCAGCAUGUGUGUUAGUGGAAGCGUCUGGAAAGGCGCGCGAUACAGGGUGACAGCCCCGUACACAAAAGCGCAUGUGCUGUGAGCUCGAUGAGUAGGGCGGGACACGUGGUAUCCUGUCUGAAUAUGGGGGGACCAUCCUCCAAGGCUAAAUACUCCUGACUGACCGAUAGUGAACCAGUACCGUGAGGGAAAGGCGAAAAGAACCCCGGCGAGGGGAGUGAAAAAGAACCUGAAACCGUGUACGUACAAGCAGUGGGAGCACCCUUUGGGUGUGACUGCGUACCUUUUGUAUAAUGGGUCAGCGACUUAUAUUCUGUAGCAAGGUUAACCGAAUAGGGGAGCCGGAGGGAAACCGAGUCUUAACCGGGCGUUAAGUUGCAGGGUAUAGACCCGAAACCCGGUGAUCUAGCCAUGGGCAGGUUGAAGGUUGGGUAACACUAACUGGAGGACCGAACCGACUAAUGUUGAAAAAUUAGCGGAUGACCUGUGGCUGGGGGUGAAAGGCCAAUCAAACCGGGAGAUAGCUGGUUCUCCCCGAAAGCUAUUUAGGUAGCGCCUCGUGAAUUCAUCUCCGGGGGUAG
This 702-nucleotide ribosomal RNA is filed under the name Salmonella enterica. RNAcentral describes it as "partial 23S ribosomal RNA". It matches the Rfam family "Bacterial large subunit ribosomal RNA", at positions 161 to 905 of the family's 2925-position model. The record is from RNAcentral. Lineage: Bacteria; Pseudomonadati; Pseudomonadota; Gammaproteobacteria; Enterobacterales; Enterobacteriaceae.